Long non-coding RNA from Astatotilapia calliptera (eastern happy), 1066 nucleotides. NCBI's taxonomy places the organism in Eukaryota, Metazoa, Chordata, Actinopteri, Cichliformes, Cichlidae. The record is from Ensembl.
GAAGGGGUUAACAACACACAGUGUGGUUGCCUAUGGUAACCUGGAAGCAUUUGGGGUUUAGCUGUGCCUGACUAAGACAGAGUUUUUCAUUUAGAUGUUUCUGAAACAAAAUUUGGAGUGAACGGAGUUUUGUUUCAGAAAAAAGGGGGAAGGUACAUGAAAGGAAACAUAAAAACAGAAAAUGUAUUAACCCGACUAACACACACACACACACACACACACACACACACACACACACACACACACACACACGUAAUGAAGAUCAAACACAAUUUUAAGUUGGUAAUACUGUUACCAUCAUCCUGUCUGUUUUAUUGAGUGGGUUGAGAACUGAUACAUAGACGACUGAAUUAGUAUUAUUUUGGGGAACAUGAUAGCAGGGGUGAACAGAAUCCUGCAGCCAGAGUUUAAAUGAGUGAAACUAGAAGAUUUUUGUUUUGUUUUGUUUUGUUUUUUGUUUUGUUUUUGUUUCUGAAGUAUGGGUGUUUUCUCACCUAUAAGAGAGAGAAUAUUCUGUGACAUGUCCUAAGACCGGGCUUCUGUAUUUUUUUAUUUUCUUUUGUUUUUCAGUUUUAUUUGUCAUUUUUCAUUUUAUUUUAAUUUUUUGAACAGUGCACUGAUUUCUGUUUGUGAAUUUCUUUUCUUUAAGCAGAUCUGCACGUCGGGAAUCAAAAGCGCUACACGUCGUCAAGAAAAUUGUUGCAAGUGAGUUUCUCCACAUUAAAAUGGGCUCUGGAGAAAGCCACUUAUUUGGGACAAUUAGAAAAUGAGAGUCCCAGCCUAAAAAGGAUUCAGCGAGGUAAUCCGAUCUAAAGUUCUUCUUUUUCUUUUUAAAUGACGUCAUUUUGCUGAGAGUGGAAACUAAAUGCGACGACAGGUUCCACUAUCAGCAAAGAAAGAAAGAAAGAAUGGAUGAAUGAAUGGAAAUAAAAACAAACUGACUGACUGGUAAAAGCUGACAAGACUUGACCACGACUCAAGGUUAACCUCCACCUAGACAGGACAAAAGGGUGGAUGAAUUUAUGUGUUUCCUUUUACAGGAGCAGAAAGAUGACAGCAACAUCUG